CUGUGCUGCCUGUUGCUCUGGGGCUCCAGCUGCAGGACUGCCUCAGAGAGCAGGCUGGUGAACAG
MicroRNA precursor from Taeniopygia guttata (zebra finch), 65 nucleotides. The record is from Ensembl. NCBI's taxonomy places the organism in Eukaryota, Metazoa, Chordata, Aves, Passeriformes, Estrildidae.